AUUUAAUGGUCACUUGAUAUGACAAUUACUUUUCAGUGUGAAGAUUGUCAUCAUGCAAUUUGUAUGUGGGAGUUGUUUAAAUGAUGAUAAUGUUUAAAACGUCAGUGGUAGUUAUAAGAGAGGCUGGUGAGUGUAUUUGAUGUCGGCUACCAAUCAGAUCCCGCGUUCACCACUGCAUAGUUAAUCCGUUCCCAGCAUUCCAUUCCGCUAAAGAGGAAGUGCUUCUUUGAACAGUAAGAACAAUAAGGAUAUGGAAUUCUCUGCCUGAAGAGGUGGUUUUGUCAGAGUCCAUACAGAUGUUUAAACUGAAAUUGGAUAAAUACUUACAAAAACAUAACAUACAGGGAUAUAAUUUCUAAUUAGUGGGUUAAUAGCUGCUUGAUCCAAGGAGACAUCUGACUGCUAUUUUGGGGUCAAGAAGGAAUUUUUUCCUAGUUUGUGGCAAAAUUGGAAGCGCUUCAGACCAGGUUUUUUUGCCUUCUUUUGGAUCAACAGCAACAACAUUUGUGAGGAAGGCUGAACUUGAUGGACGCAAGUCUCUUUUCAACUAUGUAACUAUGUAACUGCGAGACCAGCACAAGAUAGACAGUUCUGAAAAUGCUAAAUGCUGGUAAAAUGAAUAUUUAUGUUUGUUAUAUAUACUACAUUUCUUUGUAAAUAAAUAUUUG
Molecule: non-coding RNA, 668 nt
Organism: Pelobates cultripes (western spadefoot toad)
Lineage: Eukaryota; Metazoa; Chordata; Amphibia; Anura; Pelobatidae
Source: the annotation of a GenBank genome assembly